Molecule: ribosomal RNA, 253 nt
Filed under: uncultured prokaryote
Description: partial 16S ribosomal RNA
Rfam family: Bacterial small subunit ribosomal RNA
Source: RNAcentral
ACGGAGGGUGCGAGCGUUGUCCGGAAUCACUGGGCGUAAAGGGCGCGUAGGCGGCGCGAGCAGUCGGCGGUGAAAGCCCGGAGCUCAACUCCGGGUCGGCCGUCGAUACUCUCGUGCUUGAGCACUGUAGAGGCAGAUGGAAUUCCGGGUGUAGCGGUGGAAUGCGUAGAGAUCCGGAAGAACACCGGUGGCGAAGGCGGUCUGCUGGGCAGUAGCUGACGCUGAUGCGCGACAGCGUGGGGAGCAAACAGGA